AAAUUGAAGAGUUUGAUCAUGGCUCAGAUUGAACGCUGGCGGCAGGCCUAACACAUGCAAGUCGAACGGUAACAGGAAACAGCUUGCUGUUUCGCUGACGAGUGGCGGACGGGUGAGUAAUGUCUGGGAAACUGCCUGAUGGAGGGGGAUAACUACUGGAAACGGUAGCUAAUACCGCAUAAUGUCGCAAGACCAAAGAGGGGGACCUUCGGGCCUCUUGCCAUCGGAUGUGCCCAGAUGGGAUUAGCUAGUAGGUGGGGUAACGGCUCACCUAGGCGACGAUCCCUAGCUGGUCUGAGAGGAUGACCAGCCACACUGGAACUGAGACACGGUCCAGACUCCUACGGGAGGCAGCAGUGGGGAAUAUUGCACAAUGGGCGCAAGCCUGAUGCAGCCAUGCC
Molecule: ribosomal RNA, 401 nt
Filed under: Escherichia coli
Lineage: Bacteria; Pseudomonadati; Pseudomonadota; Gammaproteobacteria; Enterobacterales; Enterobacteriaceae
Description: bacterial SSU rRNA
Rfam family: Bacterial small subunit ribosomal RNA
Source: RNAcentral